RNAcentral lists this ribosomal RNA (304 nucleotides) under uncultured Streptococcus sp. RNAcentral describes it as "bacterial SSU rRNA". It matches the Rfam family "Bacterial small subunit ribosomal RNA", at positions 1077 to 1382 of the family's 1533-position model. The record is from RNAcentral. Lineage: Bacteria; Bacillati; Bacillota; Bacilli; Lactobacillales; Streptococcaceae.
UGGUUAGUCCCGCAACGAGCGCAACCCCUAUUGUUAGUUGCCAUCAUUCGAGUUGGGCACUCUAGCGAGACCGCCGGUAAUAAACCGGAGGAAGGUGGGGAUGACGUCAAAUCAUCAUGCCCCUUAUGACCUGGGCUACACACGUGCUACAAUGGUUGGUACAACGAGUUGCGAGUCGGUGACGGCGAGCUAAUCUCUUAAAGCCAAUCUCAGUUCGGAUUGUAGGCUGCAACUCGCCUACAUGAAGUCGGAAUCGCUAGUAAUCGCGGAUCAGCACGCCGCGGUGAAUACGUUCCCGGGCCUU